This 253-nucleotide ribosomal RNA is filed under the name uncultured prokaryote. RNAcentral's name for it is "partial 16S ribosomal RNA". It matches the Rfam family "Bacterial small subunit ribosomal RNA", at positions 524 to 776 of the family's 1533-position model. The record is from RNAcentral.
GACAGAGGGGGCAAGCGUUGCUCGGAAUUACUGGGCGUAAAGGGCGCGUAGGCGGGAUGGCAAGUCGGUCGCGAAAUCCCUCGGCUCAACCGAGGAACGUCGAUCGAUACUGCUGUUCUUGAGGAUUGCAGAGGAGACUGGAAUUCCCGGUGUAGCGGUGAAAUGCGCAGAUAUCGGGAGGAACACCGGUGGCGAAGGCGGUUCUCUGGGCCUUACCUGACGCUGAGGAGCGAAAGCGUGGGGAGCGAACAGG